Molecule: transfer RNA, 87 nt
Filed under: bacterium (Candidatus Gribaldobacteria) CG_4_10_14_0_2_um_filter_33_15
Lineage: Bacteria; Candidatus Gribaldobacteria
Description: tRNA-Leu
Rfam family: tRNA
About the family: Transfer RNA (tRNA) molecules are approximately 80 nucleotides in length. Their secondary structure includes four short double-helical elements and three loops (D, anti-codon, and T loops).
Source: RNAcentral
GCCCGGGUGGCGGAACUGGUAGACGCGUUGGAUUCAAAAUCCAAUAGUCGCAAGACUGUGAGGGUUCGAGUCCCUCCCUGGGCACCA